Molecule: transfer RNA, 72 nt
Filed under: Toxocara canis (dog roundworm)
Lineage: Eukaryota; Metazoa; Nematoda; Chromadorea; Rhabditida; Toxocaridae
Rfam family: tRNA
About the family: Transfer RNA (tRNA) molecules are approximately 80 nucleotides in length. Their secondary structure includes four short double-helical elements and three loops (D, anti-codon, and T loops).
Source: Rfam by way of RNAcentral
UGGACAGUAGCUCAGUAGUAGAGCUCCCGCUUCGUAUGAGGGGAGACCUGGGUUCGAUUUCCGGCUGCUUAC